Molecule: ribosomal RNA, 446 nt
Filed under: uncultured bacterium
Lineage: Bacteria
Description: SSU rRNA
Rfam family: Bacterial small subunit ribosomal RNA
Source: RNAcentral
AGAAUGAACGCUGGCGGCAUGCCUAACACAUGCAAGUCGAACGAAGGCUUCGGCCUUAGUGGCGCACGGGUGCGUAACGCGUGGGAAUCUACCCUUAGGUUCGGAAUAACAGUUGGAAACGACUGCUAAUACCGGAUGAUGACGUAAGUCCAAAGAUUUAUCGCCUAGGGAUGAGCCCGCGUAGGAUUAGCUAGUUGGUGUGGUAAAGGCGCACCAAGGCGACGAUCCUUAGCUGGUCUGAGAGGAUGAUCAGCCACACUGGGACUGAGACACGGCCCAGACUCCUACGGGAGGCAGCAGUGGGGAAUAUUGGACAAUGGGCGAAAGCCUGAUCCAGCAAUGCCGCGUGAGUGAUGAAGGCCUUAGGGUUGUAAAGCUCUUUUACCCGGGAUGAUAAUGACAGUACCGGGAGAAUAAGCUCCGGCUAACUCCGUGCCAGCAGCCGC